This 2764-nucleotide long non-coding RNA is filed under the name Vitis vinifera (wine grape). Its description in RNAcentral is "long non-coding RNA (VVIN_LNC000669)". The record is from RNAcentral. Lineage: Eukaryota; Viridiplantae; Streptophyta; Magnoliopsida; Vitales; Vitaceae.
UUCCAACUACAGAUUCACGUUUCUCUCCAUUUUUAAACAGCAAAACCACUGGCACAGCCUUAAUUUCAUAGUUCUCAGCAAUAUGCAAGUCAUGGUCUGUGUUCAGCACAAAGCAUUUAAGUCUCCCUGCAUAAUCUUCUGCAAUCUCAUCUAUCACCCGGUGAACCAUCCUGCAGGGCCCACACCAACUAGCAUAAAAUUCAACCAGGACAGGGAUUUCGCUGUUCAGAAUUGAUUUUUCCCAUGAGUCUCCAGUGACCACUGCAGCUGCACAUUCCAAACAUAAUGUGGUUAAGAGGACCAUCCAAUGUUUAUCUAAUUAUUAGAUUAGAAUCUUAUUAUUCUAAUAUACAUAUACAUUAGAAUUCCAUAAUAUAAUUUUUUCAUUUUUAAAAUAUAUUAAUACUUAGUGAUCAUUAAAUAAUCAUUAAUGAAUUCCCAUUUUAGUUAUAGAGGGUCUGCUCUAAGGACUAAGGAAAGGAUAAGAAAAAUGAAAUAGAAAGAUGCAAUCCAGAUAAAUGCAAUUCAGAUCAUAAUGAGACAUUCCUCUGCUUUCAUUCGGAAAGGUGGAAGCUAAGACAAAAAAAAGAAUCGACCGUUCGAGUAUUCUCAAAUUGUACAUGCCUACCUUACAGAUAUCUCUGCAUAUGAGUUUGAUUUAAUCACAUGACUAAUUGACAUGGAGAAAAAUCAUUCAAAGUCAAAAGUUUUCCCUCUGAGCAGAUUGCAAAUUUCUGAAAAUGGUCUAAACAACCAUAAACUACCCCUAAACCACGCAAGGAAUGAGGGUUGAAUGAGAAUAGGAAAAAAAAACCUGAUAAGCUCAGACAGAGAGCACAGCGCUCACCCAAUCCUUCAUUCUGCCACAUUUUUGAAGAGUGCUGAAACUAAAGAGUGCAGUUAUUUCAUUUCUGUGGUAUCCAUUUUUUUCUUUCAUUUUUUCACUUUGUUCUAGUUUCUUCCAUUUUGCUACUGUAAACUAUUACCAAUAUACUGAAGGCAAAACACCCAGGUAGCAAAGAAGAAUACAAAUCGAAAACGUUAAAAACCAAAAAUGACACCAUAAAACAGAAUCAAUGUUCCAACCCCAAGAAACUCAAAUUCAAUAUUUUAUUAAAUAGAAAAGAAUACAGUUAAUCAAACAGAACAACAGACAAAGUGGAAGGAUAAGAAAUGAGCAACACAUUUUAGAAAACAAAAAAUGCAUCAAAAGUAACGAUAAGGAGCAUCUAAACCAAAUAGGUUAAAUAAAAAUAUAGUCCAGACAAUGGGAGGAAAACCAAAGGGAGAUCUAAAAAUAUUGUACAUUGGUUAUGGAGAAAGAAAAUUAUGUGAAAAACAAGAACACUAGAAGAAGAAAAAAUAUAUUGAUUUCAAAAUCUACAUAGAACAAACAAAAGAAAAAGGCCAUAAACAUUUAUUUCCAUCCACACACAAAAGUCAAAGACAAGAUGCAAUUAGUUCAACAAAUGAACUACAAGAAGAACAUAAUUAACAAACUAAAACUGAUUAACCAAUUAGAUAUGCACUUGCCUGAGAAAAUCUAAACAGAGAGAGAAGUGAAUAAACAAUAAAAAGGAGCAAAAAUUAAGGGUCAGAAAAUAAUAUGCAGAGCAUUAGCAUUUAAACAUCACCACCACCCAACCCCACCACAUCCAUGCUGCCUCCUCACCUCUUCUUCCCCAAUUUUUUGGAAGUUAUUUCGACAUAAGCAUAACCCAUAGGAGUCCAAUGUCACAUCCUAGGAGGCACAUAUGUUUCCGUUGUAACAUUUCAUCCAACCAGAUUGUAUCAAGAGUUCAAAAUCAUUAUUCCCUCUGCGAAUUUUCAGAGAAGCAAUCCCAACUUGACCAACCCAGGAAAGGAAAUACACUUAAAACUGGUCAGCAUUUUAUUUAAAAAAUUAUAUAUAAUAAAAAAUAAUACAGAAGUUGCUUCAAUAUUUUUGUCCAAACUUGAAGAGAACCGCUUCAUUUUCUGAUAUUGGUUCUAUUUGUAACUAAUGAAUUGCCAUCACUGGGUCAUCGUCAUGAAGCAAACUUUAAACUUCAACAUCUAUCUCCAUGCCAGAAAAAAGAAGCACAAAAAAAAAAAACCUCCUUCACAAUUUGGAAUCCCACCCCAAUCCAAUAAAUAAAUAUAGAUAAAUAAAAGUUGCAAAAAAUAUAAUUCUGGCCAUUAAAAAAGUAUGGGUAUUGGAAUAAGAGAUAAAUAUAAGGAUGCUCUUGCAUGACACCCAAUGACUUUGGUAGUGCCUUUUAUCGCAAACCUUUACAAAUGAUUGGCUCUUUAAUCAAGAACUAGAUCUGGUUUUUAUGGAGAUGCCAUAAAAAAAAGGAAAAAUCAACAAAAAAAGUUGAAGCUUUUUCUCAAGAUUCCAUCUUCACCGAAAUGCUAACAUGAACACACCGCACUUUGAGGUUUUCAAAACAUUAUCCCUCAGGUCAAUUUAUAGUGAGAUAAAUGGUUUAUCAACCCCAUCUAACACAAUGAUAAGCUUUUUGUAAAUCAAUAAAGCAGAUGAAAGAAAAUAUCAGGGAGUAGGGUAGAAGCUUCCCCUAACAAGAUUCUGACAAAAUUGCUGAGGCAGCUAAAAGAUGCCAACACAUCCAACCAAAUGUCCCAUCUAAGAUUGAAACAGAUAAAGAAAUUGGCUAGUUCUAUUCCCCCAUUAACGAAUCUAAGACUUUUCAUAAGACCCCAAACCGCCACUAUCCUAAAUCCUUAAGUUUGAUUGCAGAGAAAACUGAGGAGAGAAAAGAAA